RNAcentral lists this unclassified non-coding RNA (243 nucleotides) under uncultured Ascomycota. Its description in RNAcentral is "sequence contains 5.8S rRNA gene". The stretch from base 1 to 53 matches the Rfam family "5.8S ribosomal RNA", at positions 102 to 154 of the family's 154-position model. Lineage: Eukaryota; Fungi; Ascomycota. The record is from RNAcentral.
GAACGCACAUUGCGCCCCUUGGUAUUCCGAGGGGCAUGCCUAUUCGAGCGUCAUUAUCACCCCUCAAGCUCAGCUUGGUGUUGAGGCCUGCUGUAAGGGCAGCCUCUAAAAUCAGUGGCAGUGCUGUCAGGCUCUAAGCGUAGUAAUUUUCAUCGCUAUAGACACCUGGUGGAUACUCGCCAGAACCCCCCCAUUUUUUAAUGAUUGACCUCGGAUUAGGUAGGGAUACCCGCUGAACUUAAG